RNAcentral lists this transfer RNA (72 nucleotides) under Dipodomys ordii (Ord's kangaroo rat). It matches the Rfam family "tRNA". From Rfam's summary of the family: Transfer RNA (tRNA) molecules are approximately 80 nucleotides in length. Their secondary structure includes four short double-helical elements and three loops (D, anti-codon, and T loops). The record is from Rfam by way of RNAcentral. Lineage: Eukaryota; Metazoa; Chordata; Mammalia; Rodentia; Heteromyidae.
GGGAUAUAGGCUCAGUGGUAGAGUGCUUGCCUCACAUGCAUGAGGCCUGGGGUUCAAUUCCUCAGAACCUCA